UAUGUAUCUACUCAUAUAAGACCAGACAAUUGCUCCGUCGCUUUCGAGGAGUUACUCUAGCGUUGGGAGACCGUCGCCUUCGUCGUCCGGUGCAUGAGCAAUGUCCCGGAGAACACCGUCUAUGGCGGUCCCAAGCCGCAGAGUCCGAACCAGAGGGUGACGCUGAUUAACCUCCGGCUGAAACAUCGGAGAGGAGAGCCGAUUACCGUCGACAACGCCGGCAUUGAUGUCUGCAUCGUUGGCGACUCGGCUUUCGGUGGUCGUCCAUGGUCACGACACCACGCUUCCUAUCUCCCGCGACGAGAUGCUCGUCCACUGCGGCGGCGGCAUGCGGCCUCUGCUCGUCGGCCUAUGAGUCCCAACACCCGUCAGGUUGUGGGCAAAACAUCAAUUGGCUUGAAGAGGUUUCGGUAUAAAUGAUGAUCAGGCGGUAGAUACUGCAGUCAGGGUAUUGAAGGAAGGAAGGAGUGAAUGCCAUUAAACUUGAAGGAGGAUAACCUUCUAGGAUCACCGCAGCAAAAGACAUAGUUGAACCAGGAACUGCUGUUACGGGUCAUGUUGACCCCUCAGGCCAUUAGCGUUCUUGGUCGAUUCAGGCCGCAGGGGCAAAGCAUAGUGACCGCUGUUAAGAUUGUGGAGACUGCCACGGCUUUGCAGCCACCUCUGCUCUUGCACAUUCCAACAACCAUUGGCAUCGGGCCGGCCUUUUAUGCGGUGGGCAUUUUUUCUUUUUUGCAUUCUCUUUUUAAGUUUAUCAGAUGGUACUAUCACCCUAAUUCUGGAAUACAUAAAUCUAUCUCAAACUCGAGCCUCUCGUGAUCAAAUGAUGACAUUACGACACACGAAUAUGGAGAUUUAACUUCGAUAACCAAAAUCCGAAAUCGUCACCCUAGAUUUAUGCAUGUAAUGUGGAUUUUCUGAUUUUCUGUAGUAAUUAAAAGAACGACCAAUGAGAUCACGAAAUAUGUGUGAUAAGAGAAAAGCCCUUGAAAUUAGUUGGGGCAAUUUGUUG
Long non-coding RNA from Tarenaya hassleriana, 1012 nucleotides. RefSeq lists it as uncharacterized. The transcript has 3 exons. NCBI's taxonomy places the organism in Eukaryota, Viridiplantae, Streptophyta, Magnoliopsida, Brassicales, Cleomaceae. The record is from RefSeq and is a predicted model, not a curated record.